This 653-nucleotide ribosomal RNA is filed under the name Glomeromycotina sp. OTU3 DJMC-2012. Its description in RNAcentral is "eukaryotic LSU rRNA". It matches the Rfam family "Eukaryotic large subunit ribosomal RNA", at positions 87 to 637 of the family's 3401-position model. Lineage: Eukaryota; Fungi; Glomeromycota. The record is from RNAcentral.
CUGCGAGUGAGAGGGAAAGCUCAAAUUUUAAUCUGUUAGGUUUACCUAACCGAGUUGUAAUUUGAAGAAGCGUUUUCUGCGAAUUUGGUUAGUCCAAAUCCUUUGGAAUAAGGUAUCAUGGAGGGUGAGAAUCCCGUUCGGUUAACCAAAGCGCUUUACGAUACGCUUUCAAAGAGUCAAGUUGUUUGGGAUUGCAGCUUAAAAUGGGAGGUAAAUUUCUCCUAAGGCUAAAUAUUGGCGAGAGACCGAUAGCGAACAAGUACCGUGAGGGAAAGAUGAAAAGAACUUUGAAAAGAGAGUUAAACAGUACGUGAAAUUGUUGAAAGGGAAACGAUUAAAGUCAGUCGUACCUACGAGUAAUCAACCUACUCGAGUGCGAUUUUGUGGGUAUGUUAGAGUUUAAACCUUCAUGCUUACAAAUUGGUGCUCUUUGGGCGUACUUUCUCGUAUGGUAGGUUAACAUCAAUUUCGAUCGUUAUAAAAUGACUGGAGGAAUGUAGCUUCGACCUCGGUUGAAGUGUUAUAGCCUUUGGUAGAUGUAAUGAUUGGGAUUGAGGAUUGCAACGGAUACCCUCUGGGCUAUUCGUCUGAUCUCUGGAAGUUACCUUGGUGUCGAAAGCGUGCUUACGAUAUUAAGGUUGACGGCCAAUAGG